RNAcentral lists this ribosomal RNA (450 nucleotides) under uncultured Glomeromycotina. Its description in RNAcentral is "SSU rRNA". It matches the Rfam family "Eukaryotic small subunit ribosomal RNA", at positions 569 to 1025 of the family's 1831-position model. The record is from RNAcentral. Lineage: Eukaryota; Fungi; Glomeromycota.
AGCAGCCGCGGUAAUUCCAGCUCCAAUAGCGUAUAUUAAAGUUGUUGCAGUUAAAAAGCUCGUAGUUGAAUUUCGGGAUCAAUAUAUUGGUCAUGCUUAGGUAUGUACUGGUAUUAUUGAUUUCUCCCUUCUGAAGAACCAUAAUGUCAUUAAUUUGAUGUCAUGGGGAAUCAGGACUGUUACUUUGAAAAAUUAGAGUGUUUAAAGCAGGCUUUCGCUUGAAUACAUUAGCAUGGAAUAAUGAAAUAGGACGUUUGAUUCUAUUUUGUUGGUUUCUAGGAUCGACGUAAUGAUUAAUAGGGAUAGUUGGGGGCAUUAGUAUUCAAUUGUCAGAGGUGAAAUUCUUGGAUUUAUUGAAGACUAACUACUGCGAAAGCAUUUGCCAAGGAUGUUUUCAUUAAUCAAGAGCGGAAGUUAGGGGAUCGAAGACGAUCAGAUACCGUCGUAGUC